AAAAAUAAUUAAUUUUUAUGAGACCCCAAUUCUAUAUAUAAUAAAAUAUAGUAGGACUAAAGCUCUUCACCCGGCUAUAGCAUCUUAGGUGGUAGUUAGAUCCAAGGGUUUAAAAAGGUUAAGCAUGUUAGAAUUAAAGUAGUUCUAGAAUGGGUGAUCUCUCUGGAAAGUUUGAGCGUCACAGUUGGUAUCUGAGCCAAUUAUCAGACGGAAUAAGUUGGAGCAUCACAGUUGGUAUCAAAGCUAAUUACCAGCCGGAAUUGUCAGAUGAGUCUCGGUUGAGUUAGAAUUAUACAGCAGAGAGAGUGAAGCUCUCCUACUGUUGACUAUUGUGGAUGGAGCGCGACUCCCCCAUAAGAUCAAUUAAGACUAGCGAGACGAUUUCGGUUAAAUAUUUUAUAUAUUAUUUCAUAUCUAUGCGUAUAUUUUGUAACG
RNAcentral lists this long non-coding RNA (435 nucleotides) under Ananas comosus (pineapple). Its description in RNAcentral is "long non-coding RNA (ACOM_LNC035965)". The record is from RNAcentral. Lineage: Eukaryota; Viridiplantae; Streptophyta; Magnoliopsida; Poales; Bromeliaceae.